GACGAACGCUGGCGGCGUGCCUAACACAUGCAAGUCGAACGGGGUUACGAGAGCUUGCUCUUGUAACUUAGUGGCGAACGGGUGAGUAACGCGUGAGAAACCUGCCUCUCAGUGGGGGACAACAGUUGGAAACGACUGCUAAUACCGCAUAAGCGCACAGUACCGCAUGGUACCGUGUGAAAAACUCCGGUGGUAUGAGAUGGACCCGCGUCUGAUUAGCUAGUUGGUAAGGUAACGGCUUACCAAGGCGACGAUCAGUAGCCGGCCUGAGAGGGUGAUCGGCCACAUUGGGACUGAGACACGGCCCAAAACUCCCUAACGGGAGGCAGCAGUGGGGAAUAUUGGGCAAUGGACGCAAGUCUGACCCAGCAACGCCGCGUGAAGGAAGAAGGCUUUCGGGUUGUAAACUUCUUUUAAGAGGGAAGAGUAGAAGACGGUACCUCUUGAAUAAGCCACGGCUAACUACGUAG
Molecule: ribosomal RNA, 470 nt
Filed under: uncultured bacterium
Lineage: Bacteria
Description: bacterial SSU rRNA
Rfam family: Bacterial small subunit ribosomal RNA
Source: RNAcentral